AGCAGCCGCGGUAAUUCCAGCUCCAAUAGCGUAUAUUAAAGUUGUUGCAGUUAAAAAGCUCGUAGUUGAAUUUCGGGAUUAAUUUACUGGUCGUGCUAUUGUACGUACUGGUUUUACUGAUUCCUCCCUUCUGAUGAACUAUGAUGUCAUUAAUUUGGUGUCAUAGGAAAUCAGGACUGUUACUUUGAAAAAAUUAGAGUGUUUAAAGCAGGCUCACGCUUGAAUACAUUAGCAUGGAAUAACGGAAUAGGACGUUUGAUUCUAUUUUGUUGGUUUCUAGGAUCGACGUAAUGAUUAAUAGGGAUAGUUGGGGGCAUUAGUAUUCAAUUGUCAGAGGUGAAAUUCUUGGAUUUAUUGAAGACUAACUACUGCGAAAGCAUUUGCCAAGGAUGUUUUCAUUAAUCAAGAACGAAAGUUAGGGGAUCGAAGACGAUCAGAUACCGUCGUAGUCUUAACCAUAAACUAUGCCGACUAGGGAUCGGAUGAUGUUAAUUUUUUAAUGACUCAUU
RNAcentral lists this small RNA (509 nucleotides) under uncultured Glomus. Its description in RNAcentral is "SSU rRNA". It matches the Rfam family "Eukaryotic small subunit ribosomal RNA", at positions 569 to 1080 of the family's 1831-position model. The record is from RNAcentral. Lineage: Eukaryota; Fungi; Glomeromycota; Glomeromycetes; Glomerales; Glomeraceae.